Molecule: ribosomal RNA, 301 nt
Filed under: uncultured bacterium
Lineage: Bacteria
Description: partial 16S ribosomal RNA
Rfam family: Bacterial small subunit ribosomal RNA
Source: RNAcentral
CAGUCGCCGCGGUAACACGUAGGGUGCAAGCGUUAAUCGGAAUUACUGGGCGUAAAGCGUGCGCAGGCGGUUAUAUAAGACAGAUGUGAAAUCCCCGGGCUCAACCUGGGAACUGCAUUUGUGACUGUAUAGCUAGAGUACGGCAGAGGGGGAUGGAAUUCCGCGUGUAGCAGUGAAAUGCGUAGAUAUGCGGAGGAACACCGAUGGCGAAGGCAAUCCCCUGGGCCUGUACUGACGCUCAUGCACGAAAGCGUGGGGAGCAAACAGGAUUAGAUACCCGCGUAGUCCCUGUCUCUUAUAC